CCUAUCACCCUCCACAUUUCUCCCCCACAUCCCUCCCCUCCCCGCUGGGAUCGAUCCCGGGGGAUUUCCUGGGAUGUGCCCUGGGGGGUCACAGGGGGCUGCCUGGAAACUCCCCCCUGUCCAGGUCCAGGUGACCUGGGGGGGUCCUGGACUAUCCCAGUGCCAUGGGGAUCACGGAGUGCUCCCAGUAGGAUCGGUAAAACACAUCCCGAGGUGCCGGAUUCCAGUGGUUGGCGCUGAAUUCCAGCCUCUCCUUCUCCCAGAUCCGCAAUUCCCCCCAGAGUGGGGAACGCACCUUCCUGGGAUGGUGCCAUCCACGGCCUCGUGUCCUGGGAGCUCCCCUGGCAUGGGAAAGGCUUCUCCUGUGGGAGGGUGUGAUCCCUGAGGAAGGUGUGAUCCCUGGGAAGGUGUGAUCCCUGGGGGAGGUGUGAUCCCCGAGGGAGGUGUGAUCCCUGGGGGAAGGUGUGAUCCCUGAGGAAGGUGUGAUCCCUGGGGGAAGGUGUGAUCCCUGGGAAGGUGUGAUCCCCGAGGGAAGGUGUGAUCCCUGGGGGAAGGUGUGAUCCCUGAGGAAGGUGUGAUCCCUGAGGAAGGUGUGAUCCCGGGGGAAGGUGUGAUCCCCGAGGAAGGUGUGAUCCCGGGGGAAGGUGUGAUCCCUGGGGAAGGUGUGAUCCCUGGGGGAAGGUGUGAUCCCUGAGGAAGGUGUGAUCCCUGGGGGAAGGUGUGAUCCCUGAGGAAGGUGUGAUCCCUGGGGAAGGUGUGAUCCCUGGGAAGGUGUGAUCCCUGGGGGAAGGUGUGAUCCCUGAGGAAGGUGUGAUCCCUGAGGAAGGUGUAA
Corvus hawaiiensis (hawaiian crow) is the source of this 832-nucleotide long non-coding RNA. RefSeq lists it as uncharacterized. NCBI's taxonomy places the organism in Eukaryota, Metazoa, Chordata, Aves, Passeriformes, Corvidae. The transcript is spliced from 3 exons. The record is from RefSeq and is a predicted model, not a curated record.